GAUGAAGACCGUAGCAAAUUGCGAUAAGUGGUGUGAUAUGCGAGUCCAAAACUUAUACGUGAACCAUCGAAUUGUUGAACGCAUUGCAUCGAGCUUUGCCCAAGCACGAUACGCGUUGAUCACCGCGGUUAUGUCUUCAGAAUUUGACCAUUCUGAGCUCGGGACUCAUGGCCCUCUCGGGUCACGCCUCCUAAGAUGAAUUCGCUUCGUUCCAACGUCGCGCUCCUUGUUGUGAACUUCAAGGCGUGAUGGUCGGAAUCGGCGAGCGGUCAGGCUGGAAACGCCUAGACCAAACAUGCAUCCCUUCGGGGCUUGCGACACCAAACCACUGCGUGAUCGACGUGGGACGACGGGCUAAACUUAAGCAUAUUAAUCAGCCCAGGAAAAGAAACUAACAAGGAUUCCCCUAGUAACUGCGAGUGAAGAGGGAAGAGCUCAAUGUGUGAAUCUGACCGGGUCUAAAACCUGGUUCGAAUUGUGCACUAUUGACGCUGGAUCAGCUCAUGAAAGCUUGUGGCGGAUGUCCGAUGAAACACGGCACCAUAGCGGGUCACAGUCCUGUACACGCCUACCAAGCAUUCGAGCCUAUGACCAGU
RNAcentral lists this ribosomal RNA (596 nucleotides) under uncultured Tulasnella mycobiont of Riccardia palmata. Its description in RNAcentral is "eukaryotic LSU rRNA". The stretch from base 328 to 596 matches the Rfam family "Eukaryotic large subunit ribosomal RNA", at positions 1 to 256 of the family's 3401-position model. Lineage: Eukaryota; Fungi; Basidiomycota; Agaricomycetes; Cantharellales; Tulasnellaceae. The record is from RNAcentral.